Molecule: ribosomal RNA, 475 nt
Filed under: uncultured bacterium
Lineage: Bacteria
Description: bacterial SSU rRNA
Rfam family: Bacterial small subunit ribosomal RNA
Source: RNAcentral
GACGAACGCUGGCGGCGUGCCUAACACAUGCAAGUCGAACGGAACUGUUUUGAAAGAUUUCUUCGGAAUGAAUUUGAUUUAGUUUAGUGGCGGACGGGUGAGUAACGCGUGAGUAAUCUGCCUUCAAGAGGGGGAUAACAUUCUGAAAAGAAUGCUAAUACCGCAUGAUAUAUCGGAACCACAUGGUUUUGAUAUCAAAGAUUUUAUCGCUUGAAGAUGGACUCGCGUCCGAUUAGUUAGUUGGUGAGGUAACGGCUCACCAAGACCGCGAUCGGUAGCCGGACUGAGAGGUUGAACGGCCACAUUGGGACUGAGACACGGCCCAGACUCCUACGGGAGGCAGCAGUGGGGGAUAUUGCGCAAUGGGGGCAACCCUGACGCAGCAACGCCGCGUGAAGGAUGAAGGUUUUCGGAUUGUAAACUUCUUUUAUUAAGGACGAAAAAUGACGGUACUUAAUGAAUAAGCUCCGGCUAA